This is a non-coding RNA of Pelobates cultripes (western spadefoot toad), 706 nucleotides long. NCBI's taxonomy places the organism in Eukaryota, Metazoa, Chordata, Amphibia, Anura, Pelobatidae. The record is from the annotation of a GenBank genome assembly.
CUAAAAGUCACUUAGAUAUACCCUAUGCAGGUAAAUAAUUACUCUAAAACUAUCCUUACCUUUUUGUGUCACUAUACCCCACUCCCUCUAGCAUGUAAGCUCAUUGAGCAGGGCCCUCAACCCCUCUGUUCCUGUGUGUCCAACUUGUCUGGUUACAAAUACAUGUCUGUUCGUCCACACAUUGUAAAGCACUGCGGAAUUUGACAGCGCUAUAUAAAUAUCAUAAUAAUAAUAGAAUAUAAGAGUGGUUAGUAGUGCCUGGCACCAUCACCUGGUGAUCUGUUAAAGCAUUUACCAAUAUCUUCACACUUACCUUGCAGUUAGUAAUGGUUAUGUUGUCUACAUUGUCCCUUUAAUGAGGAAAAACACUUUACAUUUAUGAUGUUAAUACACAUGGCGACAGUGUCUUACUAAAAGCACUCACCGUGACUCCUAUUAAAUGUACACCCACUAGGUACACAUUGCAGGAGGCCCCCUGGUACAAUACCUGAAGAGCUAUUUUCUCUCACACACAACAUUGCAAACAGCACAAGGGACGUCAAUACAAGAUUUCUCUAUCGUAAAAAACAAACAUAAAUAACGGCUUCCGAGCUCGUGACCGACCAGAGCUCACUGGGAUUUCACACAACGCGAGGAAACCGUACGGCACCCCCUGAACCUUCACCGGCAAAGCUGCGCCGAGCACACCUGAACAGGCAGCUCACAG